AGCGAACGCUGGCGGCAGGCUUAACACAUGCAAGUCGAGCGGGCGUAGCAAUACGUCAGCGGCAGACGGGUGAGUAACGCGUGGGAACAUACCUUUUGGUUCGGAACAACACAGGGAAACUUGUGCUAAUACCGGAUAAGCCCUUACGGGGAAAGAUUUAUCGCCGAAAGAUUGGCCCGCGUCUGAUUAGCCAGUUGGUGAGGUAACGGCUCACCAAGGCGACGAUCAGUAGCUGGUCUGAGAGGAUGAUCAGCCACAUUGGGACUGAGACACGGCCCAAACUCCUACGGGAGGCAGCAGUGGGGAAUCUUGCGCAAUGCGCGGAAGCGUGACGCAGCAACGCCGCGUGAGGGAAGACGGCCUCGGUUGUAA
RNAcentral lists this ribosomal RNA (372 nucleotides) under uncultured bacterium. RNAcentral's name for it is "bacterial SSU rRNA". It matches the Rfam family "Bacterial small subunit ribosomal RNA", at positions 29 to 428 of the family's 1533-position model. The record is from RNAcentral.